This 482-nucleotide ribosomal RNA is filed under the name Streptococcus cristatus. RNAcentral describes it as "bacterial SSU rRNA". It matches the Rfam family "Bacterial small subunit ribosomal RNA", at positions 28 to 497 of the family's 1533-position model. Lineage: Bacteria; Bacillati; Bacillota; Bacilli; Lactobacillales; Streptococcaceae. The record is from RNAcentral.
GACGAACGCGGCGGCGUGCCUAAUACAUGCAAGUAGAACGCUGAAGGAGGAGCUUGCUCUUCUGGAUGAGUUGCGAACGGGUGAGUAACGCGUAGGUAACCUGCCUGGUAGCGGGGGAUAACUAUUGGAAACGAUAGCUAAUACCGCAUAACAUUGACUAUUGCAUGAUAGUCAAUUAAAAGGUGCAAUUGCACCACUACCAGAUGGACCUGCGUUGUAUUAGCUAGUUGGUGGGGUAACGGCUCACCAAGGCGACGAUACAUAGCCGACCUGAGAGGGUGAUCGGCCACACUGGGACUGAGACACGGCCCAGACUCCUACGGGAGGCAGCAGUAGGGAAUCUUCGGCAAUGGACGGAAGUCUGACCGAGCAACGCCGCGUGAGUGAAGAAGGUUUUCGGAUCGUAAAGCUCUGUUGUAAGAGAAGAACGAGUGUGAGAGUGGAAAGUUCACACUGUGACGUAUCUACCAGAAAGGGAUGCA